RNAcentral lists this ribosomal RNA (1399 nucleotides) under Enterobacter sp. P4591. Its description in RNAcentral is "bacterial SSU rRNA". It matches the Rfam family "Bacterial small subunit ribosomal RNA". Lineage: Bacteria; Pseudomonadati; Pseudomonadota; Gammaproteobacteria; Enterobacterales; Enterobacteriaceae. The record is from RNAcentral.
AGUCGAACGGUAACAGGAAGCAGCUUGCUGCUUUGCUGACGAGUGGCGGACGGGUGAGUAAUGUCUGGGAAACUGCCUGAUGGAGGGGGAUAACUACUGGAAACGGUAGCUAAUACCGCAUAACGUCGCAAGACCAAAGAGGGGGACCUUCGGGCCUCUAGGCCAUCGAAUGUGCCCAGAUGGGAUUAGCUAGUAGGUGGGCUAACGGCUCACCUAGGCGACGAUCCCUAGCUGGUCUGAAAGGAUGACCAGCCACACUGGAACUGAGACACGGUCCAGACUCCUACCGGAGGCAGCAGUGGGGAAUAUUGCACAAUGGGCGCAAGCCUGAUGCAGCCAUGCCGCGUGUAUGAAGAAGGCCUUCGGGUUGUAAAGUACUUUCAGCGGGGAGGAAGCGGAUGAGGCUUAAUAACCUUCAUCAAUUGACGUUACCCGCAGAAAAAGCACCGGCUAACUCCGUGCCAGCAGCAGCGGUAAUACGGAGGGUGCAAGCGUUAAUCGGAAUUACUGGGCGUAAAGCGCACGCAGGCGGUCUGUCAAGUCGGAUGUGAAAUCCCCGGGCUCAACCUGGGAACUGCAUUCGAAACUGGCAGGCUAGAGUCUUGUAGAGGGGGGUAGAAUUCCAGGUGUAGCGGUGAAAUGCGUAGAGAUCUGGAGGAAUACCGGUGGCGAAGGCGGCCCCCUGGACAAAGACUGACGCUCAGGUGCGAAAGCGUGGGGAGCAAACAGGAUUAGAUACCCUGGUAGUCCACGCCGUAAACGAUGUCGACUUGGAGGUUGUGCCCUUGAGGCGUGGCUUCCGGAGCUAACGCGUUAAGUCGACCGCCUGGGGAGUACGGCCGCAAGGUUAAAACUCAAAUGAAUAGACAGGGGGCCCGCACAAGCGGUGGAGCAUGUGGUUUAAUUCGAUGCAACACGAAGAACCUCUACCUACUCUUGACAUCCAGAGAACUUUCCAGAGAUGCAUUGGUGCCUUCUGGGAACUACUGAGACAAGUGCUGCAUGGCUGUCGUCAGCUCGUGUUGUGAAAUGAUUGGGGUAAGUCCCGCAACGAGCGCAACCCUUAUCCUUGGUUGCCAGCGCUUAGGCCGGGAACUCAAAGGAGACUGCCAGUGAUAAACUGGAGGAAGGUGGGGAUGACGUCAAGUCAUCAUGGCCCUUACGAGUAGGGCUACACACGUGCUACAAUGGCGCAUACAAAGAGAAGCCACCUCGCGACAGCAAGCGGACCUCAUAAAGUGCGUCGUAGUCCGAAUUGGAAUCUGCAACUCGAAUCCAUGGAAAUCGGAAUCGCUAGUAAUCGUGGAUCAGAAUGCCACGGUGAAUACGUUCCCGGGCCUUGUACACACCGCCCGUCACACCAUGGGAGUGGGUUGCAAAAGAAGUAGUUAGCUUAACC